This 253-nucleotide ribosomal RNA is filed under the name uncultured bacterium. RNAcentral's name for it is "partial 16S ribosomal RNA". It matches the Rfam family "Bacterial small subunit ribosomal RNA", at positions 524 to 776 of the family's 1533-position model. The record is from RNAcentral.
UACAGAGGUGGCAAGCGUUGUUCGGAAUUACUGGGCGUAAAGGGCGCGUAGGCGGUCUUGCAAGUCCUGUGUGAAAUCCCUCGGCUCAACUGAGGAACUGCACAGGAAACUGCUUGGCUUGAGUUCGGGAGAGGGAAGCGGAAUUCCGGGUGUAGCGGUGAAAUGCGUAGAUAUCCGGAGGAACACCGAUGGCGAAGGCAGCCCCCUGGGUUAACACUGACGCUCAGGCACGAAAGCGUGGGGAGCAAACAGG